ACGGGGAGGAGCCCAGAGCCUGAAUCAGCAUGUGUGUUAGUGGAAGCGUCUGGAAAGGCGCGCGAUACAGGGUGACAGCCCCGUACACAAAAGCGCAUGUGCUGUGAGCUCGAUGAGUAGGGCGGGACACGUGGUAUCCUGUCUGAAUAUGGGGGGACCAUCCUCCAAGGCUAAAUACUCCUGACUGACCGAUAGUGAACCAGUACCGUGAGGGAAAGGCGAAAAGAACCCCGGCGAGGGGAGUGAAAAAGAACCUGAAACCGUGUACGUACAAGCAGUGGGAGCCCCACCACUAAGCCAGUGGUGAACUCCACAUACGCAUCCUUUGCUGAGGAUACGGUUAACGGAGCGCAAGCGACGUUCAACCGCAAAAGAAGCAGAGGGGGCUUAGUGGUGGGGUGACUGCGUACCUUUUGUAUAAUGGGUCAGCGACUUAUAUUCUGUAGCAAGGUUAACCGAAUAGGGGAGCCGGAGGGAAACCGAGUCUUAAUUGGGCGUUAAGUUGCAGGGUAUAGACCCGAAACCCGGUGAUCUAGCCAUGGGCAGGUUGAAGGUUGGGUAACACUAACUGGAGGACCGAACCGACUAAUGUUGAAAAAUUAGCGGAUGACCUGUGGCUGGGGGUGAAAGGCCAAUCAAACCGGGAGAUAGCUGGUUCUCCCCGAAAGCUAUUUAGGUAGCGCCUCGUGAAUUCAUCUCCGGGGGUAGAGCACUGUUUCGGCUAGGGGGCCAUCCCGGCUUACCAACCCGAUGCAAACUGCGAAUACCGGAGAAUGUUAUCACGGGAGACACACGGCGGGUGCUAACGUCCGUCGUGAAGAGGGAAACAACCCAGACCGCCAGCUAAGGUCCCAAAGUCAUGGUUAAGUGGGAAACGAUGUGGGAAGGCCCAGACAGCCAGGAUGUUGGCUUAGAAGCAGCCAUCAUUUAAAGAAAGCGUAAUAGCUCACUGGUCGAGUCGGCCUGCGCGGAAGAUGUAACGGGGCUAAACCAU
RNAcentral lists this ribosomal RNA (994 nucleotides) under Salmonella enterica subsp. enterica serovar Nima. RNAcentral's name for it is "partial 23S ribosomal RNA". It matches the Rfam family "Bacterial large subunit ribosomal RNA", at positions 292 to 1190 of the family's 2925-position model. The record is from RNAcentral. Lineage: Bacteria; Pseudomonadati; Pseudomonadota; Gammaproteobacteria; Enterobacterales; Enterobacteriaceae.